AACCAGCUCUUCAAGUGGUCGGGAAUUUUAUUGGGCUUAAAGUGUCCGUAGCCGGUUUGAACAGUUCCUGGUUAAAUCUGGUAGCUUAACUAUCAGUCAGCUAGGAAUACUAUCUUACUAGAGGGUGGGAAAGGUCUGGGGUACUUCAGGGGUAGCGGUGAAAUGCGAUAAUCCUUGGGGGACCACCAGUGGCGAAGGCGCCAGACUGGAACACGCCUGACGGUGAGGGACGAAAGCCAGGGGAGCGAACGGGAUUAGAUACCCCCGGUAGUCCUGGCCGUAAACGAUGCGUGCUAGGUGUUGGUAGGGCUAUGAGCUGUAUCAGUGCCGUAGGGAAACUGUUAAGCGCGCCGCCUGGGAAGUACGCUCGCAAGAGUGAAACUUAAAGGAAUUGGCGGGGGAGCACCACAAGGGGUGAAGCCUGCGGUUC
RNAcentral lists this ribosomal RNA (430 nucleotides) under uncultured archaeon. RNAcentral's name for it is "bacterial SSU rRNA". It matches the Rfam family "Archaeal small subunit ribosomal RNA", at positions 474 to 903 of the family's 1478-position model. The record is from RNAcentral.